RNAcentral lists this long non-coding RNA (1018 nucleotides) under Piliocolobus tephrosceles (Ugandan red Colobus). RNAcentral's name for it is "lncRNA (ENSPTEG00000014926.1)". The record is from RNAcentral. Lineage: Eukaryota; Metazoa; Chordata; Mammalia; Primates; Cercopithecidae.
UUUAAUCUUCAAAAAUCAUGCAUUUCACACAAACUAUUUGUAAAAGGAACGUCCGAAAACAUAAAAGGAGUUUCAUUUCACCCAACUAAUAAUUCGAUAAUAGCUCAAAGUAGUGAUAAUAUUAUGUGUUUGUGGAAAAAAGUAAAUAUUUAUUCUGAACAAAAUGAUAUAAAUUUGGGACAAAAUAAAAAAACUUUUGGACAGGGCCAGCUGGAACUAGAACAAAGUAGACAACAAUAUGAACAAAGUAAGUUACAAUAUGAACAAAGCAAGUUACAAUAUGAACAAAGAAAGUCACUAUACGAACAAAAUAAUCAGAUUUUAAGGUCACCAUCUCCAGUAUUAUCAUCACCAGUACUAUCAUCUCCAGUAUACGAAUGUAACAGCUCAGAUAGUAAUACACAAAAAAAUAAAAAAUUAAUAAAAGAAUAUUUUGAAUAUAUAUAUGAAGAAGACAUGAAUAAAAAUUAUAAAAACAUUGACACGCCAACAAUCCGUCAUAUUUAUUUUGAUACAUUUGGGAAAUAUGCUAGUAUAACUCACAUACCCAGUAAUGGUAACAAUUGUGGUGUUUUAUUAAAAAUAGUUAAUGAUUUAUAUGUACAUAAGAAACGUGUGUUUUUAAAUGGCCAUGGUAGUUGUAUACGACUAGCUAAUAUAGGGAAAAAGGUUUAUAUAGAUGCAAAAAAAAAAAAAAAAUUAUUUAGUUUGUAUUGCCAAUGUAGUGACAAUGGUAUUAUAUCUUUAUGGAAAAUUUUUUUAAAAAGAAUAAAAAAAAUAAAAAAUAAAUCAAAUGCAAUGGAAUAUGAAUGUAGUGAAAAUUUUAAAAUUAACAAAAUAGGAAAGGAGUGUAUUAGUAGUGAUAUUUCUGAUAUUUAUGUUAAUGACAAUAUCCAUAACAAGAAGGAACAGAACAAUAAGCUGGAAAUGCAGUAUGAGAAUAAACAACAGAAUAGCAAAAACUAUAGCAAACACGAUAGCAAAAACGAUAGCAAAAACGAUAGCAAAAAUGAUAGCA